UGGGGAGAGGCGGCCACCUGCUGCCCAGUGAAUCUCAGGCCACUGGGCUCUGGGAGACCUGAACAUGUUCUAGAAAGCAGCGCCAGGACAUUCGGUUGUUUUCCCAGCUGCAAAAGGAGGGGAACACAUAUUUCUGGCGGGGGCGCCUCUCUCAUGGGGUGGGGACAGAAGGGACCAGGAAAUGUGAAUAAUUGGGAUCCUUGUCCCACCUGAGGAUUCUCAGUCCAUCCUGGCCCAGUUCGGCGGCCCAGCCUGCUGUUGCCUUUUGUGUAUCUGCACUCACAGACUCUUGGGCCUGUCUCUGUCUCCAUCACUCAGGCACCCAGAAAGUCACGCCUGCACGUGCAACGGUUGGAUCUGAUAAUACUGGUGGUCGCAGUGACCGAGAGAUGUGUGGAGCCCUGGGAAUUGUCCAGGCUGGGCAGUGGUCACCGCCGCGCUGUUCCUUCUGCACAGCCAUAGCCUCUUGUUGACUUGGGCCUCAGAGCAGCCUCUCCAGAGUCAGCCAGGGUCCCUCCCUGCUCUGGGUGGUGUGGGGCAUGUUGCACGCCAUGUGGGAGCAGAGUGGGGCACGUGGUUUUCAUAUUGAGGAUGUCUCCUUCUCUUUGGGGCAGCCACAAGAGCUGUCCUCCCAUGUGUUGGUCAUUUUAACGGGAGGUUUGGGGACCUCCAGGCAUGCACAGUACAGUUCUGUUUGAGUUGCUUUUACAGUCGUAGAAGCUGAGGUUGGUGAAGACCCUUCAAGGGCCCCUAGACCAAGGUCCCAUCGGAUCCCCUCUGGGAUGGCCUCCCAGCAUCCUCGCUGACUUCGAGGCUGUCCAGUGGCAUUCACUGUUCAAGGAAUGUCCCCUCUGUGCCAGUAUUUGUGAGGAGCUGGAACAUCCUAGGGCACAAGGGCACAAGGCCAGGUUGCCACGGAGAUGCCAACUAAGUCAUGAAUAUUUCAU
RNAcentral lists this long non-coding RNA (947 nucleotides) under Homo sapiens (human). RNAcentral describes it as "HSALNT0237980". The record is from RNAcentral. Lineage: Eukaryota; Metazoa; Chordata; Mammalia; Primates; Hominidae.